CGUGUAGGCGGGACGGCACGUCGGUCGCUGAAAUCCCCCGGCUCAACCGGGGAACGGGCGCCGAUACGACCGUCCUGGAGGGACGUAGGGGGACCUGGAACCUCCGGUGGAGCGGUGAAAUGCGUUGAGAUCGGAAGGAACGCCCGUGGCGAAAGCGAGGUCCUGGACGUUUUCUGACGCUGAGACGCGAAAGCCAGGGGAGCGAACG
RNAcentral lists this ribosomal RNA (208 nucleotides) under uncultured bacterium. Its description in RNAcentral is "partial 16S ribosomal RNA". It matches the Rfam family "Bacterial small subunit ribosomal RNA", at positions 568 to 774 of the family's 1533-position model. The record is from RNAcentral.